Molecule: non-coding RNA, 28 nt
Filed under: Mus musculus (house mouse)
Lineage: Eukaryota; Metazoa; Chordata; Mammalia; Rodentia; Muridae
Source: RNAcentral
UGAGUCUUAGAUGAGUGAAAGGUGCUGU